Molecule: long non-coding RNA, 4841 nt
Filed under: Triticum aestivum (bread wheat)
Lineage: Eukaryota; Viridiplantae; Streptophyta; Magnoliopsida; Poales; Poaceae
Description: long non-coding RNA (TAES_LNC008068)
Source: RNAcentral
UGCGCCUACUCCAGCGGCGUCACCGCCGCCAUCCUCCUCUCUGACCUCUUCCAGGUCUGCCAGAUUUGCCGCCGCCAACUAACUCCCCAUCUCUGUAUGUUACUCGCUCUACCGGUUAGGUGUCUCCGUUGAGUCGCUCCAGUUCAGUUCAGUAAUCAGCGCUAGCACAUGGCUCUUUCUCGAAUAUGAUCUGUAUUUCGUGCACGUUGUUUCCUAGGAUUUUGUUGUUCAAUUAGCUCGAGUUUGAAAGCAAGCGCACCAGUUCAUGGAAGGAUUUGAACAAUGUAUUGGCAAUUAACACAUGGAUCUUUCUCAAAUAUGAUCUGUAUUUUGCGCACGCUAUUUCCUACUAGGAUUUUGCUGUUCAAUUAGCUCGAAUUUGACAGCAAGCGCACUAGUUCAUGGAAGGAUUUGAACAAUGUGUUGGUAAUUAACACUCAGCUACGCAUGGCAUACAGGAAAUUAAAAUUGUGUGUACUAAAAGUGGAUCUAAUUGGUCGUAUACUCAUCAUCUGUAUGCUAGGAACGGUGCCAUAUCCACCUUAUAAUAUUUUCGAGUUAGGAUGUACUGUAUAAUAGUUACUUGGUGUUGAUGUGGUGGUUGGUUGAGUAGCGGCUACUAUUUUAUGAUACCUUGAGUUGCUCACUUCUGUAGCUUCCCCGUUCUGGUUUCUAGUUAUUAGUGAUUGUUAGGAGUUCGGGCUGGGACUAGAAGGUGCUGUUCAAGGUUUCUAGUCCAUCUCCGUCUCAAGGUUUCUAGUGUUAAUUUUCAAUGUCAAUUGCUUAGUUGCAGGCAUUCUCUCCUGCAGCAUCUUGCACUCAUCCACCCAUGAGCCCUCCAAUCUCUUCUCUAUGAUCCCCUUCCAUUAUAAGAAGCCAGAAUCAUUUUGGGUUUGUGGUGGAAAUGUAGAUUUACAUUCAUGAUAAGAUAAUUAGCACAAACGGCUUUCUCAUCGAUAUCACAGUAGAGAUUCAGAGUGUGAUCUUGAGAGCACGCUGCAUACUUGUUGGGAUUAUAUUUCCCAGUAGCUUGCUGAUCCUACAUAACUUCAUUCUGUAUAUGGAUCUGCGACCUUCAGGAUGCAUUUACUUAUUGCAAGCGAAGCAUCCUAUAUUAUUCUCAUUGCACUGUACAUAGUCUUCUCGCACGAAAUCUAUUUCGUUUCAUGCAAGAAGUCAAGAACUAUCAUCCAACUUGAACUUUUGGGGAUCACUGUUCACCCCUUACAAUUGCUUUGCAGGAUAACCUUCACCCCGACUGUGCAGCACUGCAGUAUUUUUUUUUAGAACGAAGGCUCGCGAAGAGCCCGGCUUUGAAUUAACAAAGCCAUCAACCGGCCGGGAUUACAAACUCUGGAGUACAACCUGGACACAACACCAUAAAAAGAAAACACGGCAAGAUACAAUGGUGCCGGGAGCAGCUCACAUGCCAGACAUACAACAAACUGAAAAAAGGAUCUACAUGAAGCACCAAGCUUGAAGAUGACAAGGCCUCUUGCACGCGCGGAGCCUAGGAGAAGGGGGAUGCCGGCGAAGGAGAUGAAGAUCAGAUGACCGAGAAGAGGCAGCCAUUGCCACAACAUCUGGGACCAGCCAGGAAACACCACCAUCCAGAUCCAUUGUCAAAGAAGGCCCCUGCCUCCUCGCCUGGCUCGAAAGGCGCCGAACCGUCGACAAUGAACACGUUCACCCUAGAACCUGGAUGAGUGGCACCGAUGGCAUCCACAUUGUUGGGACAAGGCAGACGCGACCUAUCGUCGACUUCUCACCUAGAGCAUAGCAACACCGAAAACUAAAGACUCGGGCAUUCAAGAGGAGAGCUGCCAGGAUGAACUAAGGAGCAGCAGCCAAGGCCAUGGCCUGAACCAGGUGGAGCACUACCACCGCUGGAGUUAACUGCUGCCGCCGACACCCACCGCACACCUCACAGCGAAGUCCAAAUUCCCACCUUGCUCCCAAAGCAGCGCCUUCAAGAAGGAUACGGCGCCAAGGGCGUCGCCGCCGCCCAACAUCGUUGGGGUUUUCACCCGGGAGGACAAGGGGGAGGGGGUGGGGAAGGUAUACCUGACCAACGCCUCCAAGAAGGUGCGCGGCGCCCACGGGCGUCGCCGCCGUCACAGCCAGCAGGACGGCUAGGGAUUUCUCCUGGCAAUUUUCCCGUCCCCACUCCCACCCGGCGAAGAACCGGCAUCCAAGACGGAGCCGGCCAGAUCUGGGGGGAGGACUUGCGAAUCCGCCGUAGAGGGUGGUAGGCGGCCAGAUCUGAAGCCGCGCAGCCGAAGCCGCCGCCGCCACGCCCUGGCUCGCAUCCACCAGCUACCUCGCCGUCCACACGGCUGAGGGGCACCGGCCCGCACCUGCGCCACCAUGCGUCGAGGAUCCGGUGGCGCCAUUCCCGCCGGGGCCGCCGCCCCGGGACCCGAGGCCCCCCGCGAGAGAUGCAGAGCAGCAGGAGAGGCCCCGCCGCCACCAUCAUCAGCAGCGCCCCGGGCGAAGCCGGCGACUGCCUCAGGCGGCGGCGAGGAGAGGGUUGGAGGGGGAGGAGACGGCGGCGGCGGGCUAGGUUAUCGGCCCUCGAGUCGCCCAAGAGGGCGACGGGAGGGAGAGAGGGGGGGAGAGAGGGGAGGCUUAAGUGCCUCAGGCUUAAGUUGAUGCAAAACCCGCGAGACUACACCACUGGUCGUCGACCUGCCCCACAGCAGGCAGACCCUCGACAUCAUUGUCAUCAUGGCCGGGACACCAGGUGAGACGCGCCAUUGCCAGAUUCCUUGUUCCUACUGGUCGAUACUCUUUGCUGCAUUGACAUGACCAGCUUGUGCUGGAAGACAGUGUAAUGAAACUGUCUGAAGAACAAUUUACUGAAAUUGAACUGCUGCUAAUCUUCAGUUAGAAAUUGGGAGCUGUCUGGACUCUUGUAGUAUUAUACAUAAGUAGAAGGAGUUGAAUGGAAACAAUUGGUAUUUGUAUUAUGCCUACAGUAAAGAUGCUAGAAGGCAAUCUGAACCAGUUUGCGAGAAAUUAUUUCAUAGUACUAUCCUUGAUACAAAUAAUUCAAUUUUCAGAUACAUAUUUACACUACAGAACUCUUGCUAGUUCGCUUGGAAAUGAUAGUAGGAUUAUGCUGAAUAAACUAAAUGUAUGUAUGAUGGCUGCAGGCUGGAUACAGGCAUGUGGACACAGCCACGGCCACAACUCUCCGGCAACCAAGACAGCGACAGCGUCGAUGGGAUCCUCGGACGACCUACGUCCUUCCCCGACCAUGCCCGCGACCUGCAUCCAGCUGCUCCUGCCCGGGCCCUCCUCAACUUCGCUCAUGGUGAGCUGCUGUAGGUGAGACAAUUGACUCGAUCUGUUGCUAUUGGUAGAACUGCUGAUGUAGUUUGGGUGUAGCCGCAACUGCUGUAGAUUGGGUGUAUAGGAGGCUGACCUACUGCUCUUCUUAGUACCAUGGCUGUUGUAGGUUGGUUUUAUCUGCAAUACAUACUAUCUUGGUUUAGUUUAGGGCCAAAUAGAGAUGUUUUUGUUGGACUAUGUUAUGUGAUUGAUAGGCCGCUGUCCCAUUACAUACUAUCAUGUAAACCUCCUAUUUUCCUGAAAUGCUAUUAUUGAUAAGUCACUGUCCCAUGACAUACUACUCUAUUUGAGCAGGAAUGGGUGGUGCCAGCGGUGCUGGAUGCGGCAUGAGUGGUUUAGGUGAGUUCUUUGGUCCCUCCCCUUUCUUGCCUACAUUGUCUUUGAUACCACGAUCGUCGAGGCAUAGCUAGCUUUUGUUACACUGUUAUUUAAACGCGUUGAAACUAUUAUAACAUCCAAGUAGUUCUCUUGAAUUUUCAGUCUUGUUGGACAGAUAAAGUAAAACAUUAAAGGGACUAGUGUCAUUAUAACUUAGUUCCUGUAUUCGCAGCCAUGCCAUGGUUUCAACCUUUUGUUUGCUAGCAGAAAAUAUGUGGCUUAUUUUUUAUCUUAUCUUCUAUUAAGCUGCCUUGUCUGUAUUGAACUCUGUAAUUCCAGCAGCCACCACCACAUCUGGUGAGAGAGACACUCUCUCUGCUGUAUUUUCUGUUCAUUGUUUGUAGUGAAUGACUUUCUAUGUCUUGGUAGGUAACUGGUAUCAUGUCCAUGUUGUUCUUGGCUAGAUGGUAAUGGUUAUCAGAAUAUGUACACAUGAGUUUAUCAUGUAACAAGUGACAGGGUCACCAGCAUAUAGACACAGUAAAUCCAUUGUUCUGUUUUAUCAUUAUGCUUCAUAUGUUAACGUGCUGCAGUCAAGUUUUGGAAGUUUUGCUUAGUGCUUGCUGAACUGAGGCAUUUGGGCAUUUAUGUAUAAUUUUUAUUCUUUUGAAUGGAUAUAUUUUAUUGGCAAUGAUUUAACUCCCACUGUAUCUCACUAAUAAUUUAUGUAGAUCAAGAUCUAAUGUCGUCAAGGUUGCUGUUGCUCUAACAGAAGAUCAAAAGAAGCCUGGAGAUGUGCACCAUCGUUUUAGUUGAUGGUGCCUGUGUAUUUGUUUUUUAUUGUAUAUGUACAGUUGUUGGAUCGUGCACACAUGUAUGUGCUGUUGUGAGUUUGUGGAUUUGAUCAUUUAAUUGAGAGAAUUAUUGAUUGUUUGCACUUGAAAUGUGUAAAAUGAAAUAUGUGAAUGAAAAAGAUGAAUGUUCUACUGGAUCGAAUAGUAUUUGGGCUCUAAAAAGGCUAUGGCCCAAACAAUAGUGGACUGGAAUAUUCUGCAUUUAUGAAAAACCUGUAAAAAAGGCUUAAUGAAAUGGACUGCAAAAUGGAAUGAAAUAAGUAGGCUGAAUUGUUGGGCCAGGCCCAUGUAGCUAGCAAAAAUUAAUAGGAAAAA